Molecule: ribosomal RNA, 415 nt
Filed under: uncultured bacterium
Lineage: Bacteria
Description: bacterial SSU rRNA
Rfam family: Bacterial small subunit ribosomal RNA
Source: RNAcentral
AACGAACGCUGGCGGCGUGCCUAACACAUGCAAGUCGAGCGGGAAAGUUCCCUUCGGGGAGCGAGUACAGCGGCGAACGGGUGAGUAACACGUAGGUAACCUACCCUGGAGUCCGGGAUAACCUGCCGAAAGGCGGGCUAAUACCAGAUAAGACCACGAGGGCUGCGGCCCUUGGGGAAAAAGAUGGCCUCUGCUUGCAUGCUAUCACUCCGGGAUGGGCCUGCGCGCCAUUAGCUAGNGGUGAGGUAACGGCUCACCAAGGCUGAGAUGGCUAGCUGGUCUGAGAGGAUGGCCAGCCACACUGGGACUGAGACACGGCCCAGACUCCUACGGGAGGCAGCAGUGGGGAAUAUUGCGCAAUGGGCGAAAGCCUGACGCAGCGACGCCGCGUGGGUGAUGAAGGCCUCGGUCGUAA